Small nucleolar RNA from Ipomoea nil (Japanese morning glory), 94 nucleotides. It matches the Rfam family "Small nucleolar RNA Z161/Z228". From Rfam's summary of the family: Z161 and Z228 are members of the C/D class of snoRNA which contain the C (UGAUGA) and D (CUGA) box motifs. Most of the members of the box C/D family function in directing site-specific 2'-O-methylation of substrate RNAs. The record is from Rfam. Lineage: Eukaryota; Viridiplantae; Streptophyta; Magnoliopsida; Solanales; Convolvulaceae.
GUCCCGUGUGAUGAAUUUGGAUUCAAUUACUCACGACGGUCGUCCGAUUCACCUCCGGGUGCUGUGAUGCAAUGAUCCAAAAUACCUGACGGUU